AUUGAACGCUGGCGGCAGGCCUAACACAUGCAAGUCGAACGGUAACAGGAAGAAGCUUGCUUCUUUGCUACCGAGUGGCGGACGGGUGAGUAAUGUCUGGGAAACUGCCUGAUGGAGGGGGAUAACUACUGGAAACGGUAUCUAAUACCGCAUAACUACGCAAGACCAAAAAGGGGGACCUUCGUGCCUCUUGCCAUCGGAUGGGCCCAGAUGGGAUUAGCUAGUAGGUGGGGUAACGGCUCAACUAGGCGACGAUCCCUAGCUGGUCUGAGAGGAUGACAAGCCACACUGGAACUGAGAAACGGUCCAGACUCCUACGGGAGGCAGAAGUGGGGAAUAUUGCACAAUGGGAGCAAGCCUGAUGCAGCCAUGCCGCGUGUAUGAAGAAGGCCUUCGGGUUGUAAAGUACUUAAAGCGGGGAGGAAGGGAGUAAAGUUAAUACCUUUGCUCAUUGACGUUACCAGCAGAAGAAGCACCGGCUAACUCCGUG
This 490-nucleotide ribosomal RNA is filed under the name uncultured bacterium. RNAcentral describes it as "partial 16S ribosomal RNA". It matches the Rfam family "Bacterial small subunit ribosomal RNA", at positions 30 to 507 of the family's 1533-position model. The record is from RNAcentral.